GACGAACGCUGGCGGCGUGCUUAACACAUGCAAGUCGAACGGAAAGGCCCUGCUUUUGUGGGGUUCUCGAGUGGCGAACGGGUGAGUAACACGUGAGUAACCUGCCCUUGACUUUGGGAUAACUUCAGGAAACUGGGGCUAAUACCGGAUAGGAGCUCCUGCUGCAUGGUGGGGGUUGGAAAGUUUCGGCGGUUGGGGAUGGACUCGCGGCUUAUCAGCUUGUUGGUGGGGUAGUGGCUUACCAAGGCUUUGACGGGUAGCCGGCCUGAGAGGGUGACCGGCCACAUGGGGACUGAGAGACGGCCCAGACUCGUACGGGAGGCAGCAGUGGGGAAUAUUGCACAAUGGGCGGAAGCCUGAGGCAGCAACGCCGCGGGCGGGAUGACGGCCUUCGGGUUGUAAACCGCUGUCGCCUGUGACGAAGCGUGAGUGACGGUAAUGGGUAAAGAAGCACCGGCUAACUACGUG
Molecule: ribosomal RNA, 468 nt
Filed under: uncultured bacterium
Lineage: Bacteria
Description: partial 16S ribosomal RNA
Rfam family: Bacterial small subunit ribosomal RNA
Source: RNAcentral